RNAcentral lists this ribosomal RNA (508 nucleotides) under uncultured eukaryote. RNAcentral's name for it is "bacterial SSU rRNA". It matches the Rfam family "Eukaryotic small subunit ribosomal RNA", at positions 637 to 1150 of the family's 1831-position model. The record is from RNAcentral.
AACUUCAGGCCUGGCCGGGCGGUCUGCCUCACGGUACGUACUGUCUGGCCGGGUCUUACCUCUUGGUGAGCCCGCAUGCCCUUCACUGGGUGUGCGGGGGAACCAGGACUUUUACCUUGAGAAAAUUAGAGUGUUCAAAGCAGGCCUACGCCCGAAUACAUUAGCAUGGAAUAAUAGAAUAGGACGUUGGUUCUAUUUUGUUGGUUUCUAGGACCGCCGUAAUGAUUAAUAGGGAUAGUCGGGGGCAUCAGUAUUGAAUUGUCAGAGGUGAAAUUCUUGGAUUUAUUCAAGACUAACUACUGCGAAAGCAUUUGCCAAGGAUGUUUUCAUUAAUCAGUGAACGAAAGUUAGGGGAUCGAAGACGAUCAGAUACCGUCGUAGUCUUAACCAUAAACUAUGCCAACUAGCGAUCGGAUGGUGUUUCAUUUUUGACCCAUUCGGCAGCUUGUGAGAAAUCAAAGUUUUUGGGUUCCGGGGGGAGUAUGGUCGCAAGGCUGAAACUUAAAGG